GAGUUUGAUCCUGGCUCAGGAUGAACGCUGGCGGCGUGCCUAAUACAUGCAAGUCGAGCGGUAAGGCCCUUCGGGGUACACGAGCGGCGGACGGCUGAGUAACACGUAGGAACGUACCCCAAAGUGAGGGAUAAGCACCAGAAAUGGUGUCUAAUACCGCAUGUGCUCUAAGGAGUAAAGCUCCGGCGCUUUGGGAACGGCCUGCGCAUGAUUAGCUAGAUGGUGAGGUAAUGGCUCACCAUGGCGACGAUCAUUAGCUGGUCUGAGAGGAUGAUCAGCCAGACUGGGACUGAGACACGGCCCAGACUCCUACGGGAGGCAGCAGUAGGGAAUUUUCCACAAUGGGCGAAAGCCUGAUUGAGCAACGCCGCGUGCAGGAUGAAUGCCUUCGGGUUGUAAAACUGCUUUUAUAUGUGACGAAUAUGACGGUAGCAUAUGAAAUAAGGAUCGGCUAAACUCCGUGCCAGCAGCCGCGGGUCAUACGGAGGAUCCCAAGCGUUAUCCGGGAAUUACUGGGGCGUAAAGAGUUGCGUAGGCGGCAUAGUAAGCAGAUAGUGAAAGCCGUGUGGCUCAACCAUACUCACAUUAUCUGAACUGCUAAGCUAGAGGACGAGAGAGGUCACUGGAAUUCCUUAGUGUAGGAGUGACAUCCGUAGAUAUUAGGAGGAACCCCAAUGGCGCAAGCAGGGGACUGGCUCGUUCCUGAACCUUCGGCACGAAAGCGUGGGGAGCAAAUGGGAAUUAGAUCCCCGGUAGUCCCUGCCUAAA
This 768-nucleotide ribosomal RNA is filed under the name bacterium enrichment culture. RNAcentral describes it as "bacterial SSU rRNA". It matches the Rfam family "Bacterial small subunit ribosomal RNA", at positions 9 to 805 of the family's 1533-position model. The record is from RNAcentral.